This is a long non-coding RNA of Triticum dicoccoides, 450 nucleotides long. RefSeq lists it as uncharacterized. The transcript is spliced from 2 exons. The record is from RefSeq and is a predicted model, not a curated record. NCBI's taxonomy places the organism in Eukaryota, Viridiplantae, Streptophyta, Magnoliopsida, Poales, Poaceae.
CCCCAAUCUUUCUCUCCUUCCCGAUCCUUUCCCUUGUGGCGCCGUCAUGGAGGCCCCCCCUCGCCGGCCGCCUCCCGCCCGCUCCGACAAGCCGCGCCCUUCCUCCUCGCCCACGCGCCUCCCCCCUUCCCUUCUUGCUCGCCGCCGCCCAGGUGGGUUCACCGGCGAGGUCCGUGUGCCGCUGGAGUGGCGUGGCCGUCGCUGCUGGCCUCCUCUGCCUCUGCAAGAGCUCUCUCUUCUCUCAAGUCCGCGCGCCGCCUGAGCGGUGUGGCCAUCCCUACCGAGGCCUCGUUGUUGCACGAGAACCAGCUGGCCCGCCCCAUUUCCCUCAUUUGUGAAUCCUCGUGUGCUCGCUGCUAGUACUUGAUACUGCAGAAAACUUGUGAUUGUAUUUAAAUUGGCAAGAUUUCAUUCAAUGAAGCAAGGUGGUACUAUUCUAGGAUUUGAUUA